UUGCACGCUGGCGGUAGGCCUCACCCCUGCAAUUCGAACGGCAGCACAGUAAGAGCUUGCUCUUACGGGUGGCGAGUGGCGGACGGGUGAGGAAUACAUCGGAAUCUACUUUUUCGUGGGGGAUAACGUAGGGAAACUUACGCUAAUACCGCAUACGACCUACGGGUGAAAGCAGGGGAUCUUCGGACCUUGCGCGAUUGAAUGAGCCGAUGUCGGAUUAGCUAGUUGGCGGGGUAAAGGCCCACCAAGGCGACGAUCCGUAGCUGGUCUGAGAGGAUGAUCAGCCACACUGGAACUGAGACACGGUCCAGACUCCUACGGGAGGCAGCAGUGGGGAAUAUUGGACAAUGGGCGCAAGCCUGAUCCAGCCAUACCGCGUGGGUGAAGAAGGCCUUCGGGUUGUAAAGCCCUUUUGUUGGGAAAGAAAAGCAGCAGGUUAAUACCCCGCUGUUCUGACGGUACCCAAAGAAUAAGCACCGGCUAACUUCGUG
RNAcentral lists this ribosomal RNA (491 nucleotides) under uncultured bacterium. RNAcentral describes it as "partial 16S ribosomal RNA". It matches the Rfam family "Bacterial small subunit ribosomal RNA", at positions 30 to 507 of the family's 1533-position model. The record is from RNAcentral.